This 372-nucleotide RNase P RNA is filed under the name uncultured Dermatophilus sp. RNAcentral's name for it is "Bacterial RNase P class A". It matches the Rfam family "Bacterial RNase P class A". From Rfam's summary of the family: Ribonuclease P (RNase P) is a ubiquitous endoribonuclease, found in archaea, bacteria and eukarya as well as chloroplasts and mitochondria. Lineage: Bacteria; Bacillati; Actinomycetota; Actinomycetes; Micrococcales; Dermatophilaceae. The record is from RNAcentral.
AGCCGGCCAGGCGGUCGCGUCGGCUGGGAGCCCGAUCAUAUCGGGGCCUGGCUGCCGAGGAACGUCCGGGCUCCGCAGGGCAGGGUGGUGGCUAACGGCCACCCGGGGUGACCCGCGGGACAGUGCCACAGAGAACAGACCGCCCGCUGCCCGUCACGGGGAGCGGGUAAGGGUGAAACGGCGGUGUAAGAGACCACCAGCGGCCCAGGUGACUGGGCCGGCUAGGCAAACCCCACCCGGAGCAAGACCAGGCAGUGCGCGUUCGAGGGCUGCCCGUCCGAGCGCACGGGUAGGUCGCUAGAGGUACCUGGUAACAGGUGCCCGAGAUGGAUGACCGCUCAACGACAGAACCCGGCGUACCGGCCGGCUCAU